This 253-nucleotide ribosomal RNA is filed under the name uncultured microorganism. RNAcentral describes it as "partial small subunit ribosomal RNA". It matches the Rfam family "Bacterial small subunit ribosomal RNA", at positions 524 to 776 of the family's 1533-position model. The record is from RNAcentral.
UACGUAGGUGGCAAGCGUUGUCCGGAUUUAUUGGGCGUAAAGCGAGCGCAGGCGGUUUUUUAAGUCUGAUGUGAAAGCCUUCGGCUCAACCGAAGAAGUGCAUCGGAAACUGGGAAACUUGAGUGUAGAAGAGGACAGUGGAACUCCAUGUGUAGCGGUGAAAUGCGUAGAUAUAUGGAAGAACACCAGUGGCGAAGGCGGCUGUCUGGUCUGUAACUGACGCUGAGGCUCGAAAGUAUGGGUAGCAAACAGG